Non-coding RNA from Nicotiana tabacum (common tobacco), 505 nucleotides. The record is from RefSeq and is a predicted model, not a curated record. NCBI's taxonomy places the organism in Eukaryota, Viridiplantae, Streptophyta, Magnoliopsida, Solanales, Solanaceae.
AAAAAUGGGCGCCCUCGUUUUAGCAACAAAAUAAGCGAGGAAAAUUUAUUGCAUAUUAGCGAUGGAUGUAGCGACGAAUUGUGUAUGUCGCUAAUAUUUUUCAUUAAUGACAGUAUCUUUAGCUACGGAAAGUUUUUGUCGCUAGGUAUUUAGGGAAAAAAAAAGUUACGAGUGUUCUGCUUUAGCGAAAAAGCUCACAGAAGACUACACUAAGAAACCAGCCCCUUUGCUUCUUCUUCUUCUCCUCUAAUCUUUGAUUAAUUUUCCCAGAUGCGUCACUACAUCAACUCUUUUCUAAAAUACUGGUGUUUUGAGAUCUGCGUGGUUUCCAAUUUCUUCAAGGUGAAGUGCUGCAAAACUCUACAUCUUUAUUUCAGGAAAAGGAAUGAAACAAUCUCAAAGAUUCCUCAUGGAUUAGUUAAGGUAUCGGUAUAUUUCUAUUAAAUUAUAAAUAUAUCUUAAUUUAUUUUAUUGACACAUAUUUUAUUGUCGCUUUCUCUCCCCC